Molecule: transfer RNA, 77 nt
Filed under: Acinetobacter baumannii
Lineage: Bacteria; Pseudomonadati; Pseudomonadota; Gammaproteobacteria; Moraxellales; Moraxellaceae
Description: tRNA-Gly
Rfam family: tRNA (bases 4-71)
About the family: Transfer RNA (tRNA) molecules are approximately 80 nucleotides in length. Their secondary structure includes four short double-helical elements and three loops (D, anti-codon, and T loops). Further hydrogen bonds mediate the characteristic L-shaped molecular structure. tRNAs have two regions of fundamental functional importance: the anti-codon, which is responsible for specific mRNA codon recognition, and the 3' end, to which the tRNAs corresponding amino acid is attached (by aminoacyl-tRNA synthetases). tRNAs cope with the degeneracy of the genetic code in two manners: having more than one tRNA (with a specific anti-codon) for a particular amino acid; and 'wobble' base-pairing, i.e. permitting non-standard base-pairing at the 3rd anti-codon position.
Source: RNAcentral
GCGGGGAAUAGCUCAGUUGGUAGAGCAUAACCUUGCCAAGGUUGGGGUCGCGAGUUCGAGUCUCGUUUCCCGCUCCA